UUCUAAACGAGUUUCAUCUCCUGGGAAAUCACGUCUUGGUCACCGUAAACGUAAGAUUGAUGUCGAUGAGACAUAUGUCCCAGAUUCCACUGAAGAUGGUGUUGCUGCUGGCAAGUGCAAUGCUAAGAAGAGUCGUACAGAUGUGGUUAGCGAUGAAUCAGACUUUGAAGCUCCUGCCAAGGUCAAGAAAGUUGGUAGGAAGCCAGGCCCUUCUAAA
This is a long non-coding RNA of Lolium rigidum, 217 nucleotides long. RefSeq lists it as uncharacterized. The transcript is spliced from 3 exons. The record is from RefSeq and is a predicted model, not a curated record. NCBI's taxonomy places the organism in Eukaryota, Viridiplantae, Streptophyta, Magnoliopsida, Poales, Poaceae.